This 282-nucleotide RNase P RNA is filed under the name Verrucomicrobiota bacterium. Its description in RNAcentral is "Verrucomicrobia bacterium RNase P RNA component class A". It matches the Rfam family "Bacterial RNase P class A", at positions 20 to 282 of the family's 367-position model. From Rfam's summary of the family: Ribonuclease P (RNase P) is a ubiquitous endoribonuclease, found in archaea, bacteria and eukarya as well as chloroplasts and mitochondria. Lineage: Bacteria; Pseudomonadati; Verrucomicrobiota. The record is from RNAcentral.
CUGGUGAGCCGCUUUGGCUUGCUGGAGGAAAGUCCGAACACCAUACGGCAGCAUGCCGCGUAGAAGACGCGGGCGCCGCACUUGCAAAAUUGCGGUGACGGAGAGUGUCACAGAAAAGACACCGCCGGUUCUUUGGAAAACAAGGGCACAGGCAAGGGUGAAAAGGCGAGGUAAGAGCUCACCGCUCGCGAAGUAAUUCGCUAGGCAUGAAAAACCCCAUGCGGUGCAAGACAAAACAGAGGGAGGGCAGCCGGCCCGUUGAUCCUCGGGUAUCGUCGCAUC